This 7506-nucleotide long non-coding RNA is filed under the name Homo sapiens (human). RNAcentral's name for it is "HSALNT0386639". The record is from RNAcentral. Lineage: Eukaryota; Metazoa; Chordata; Mammalia; Primates; Hominidae.
CCCCUGACAAAACAAGGUCUUAUUCUGUUGCCAGGCUGGAGUACAGUGGCGCCGUCAUGGCUCACUGCAGCCUCAAUGUCCCAAGCUCAGGUGAUCUUCCCACCUCAGCCUCCUGUGUAGCUGGGACCACAGCAUCUCACCUGUAACCCCAGCACCACCAUGCCUGAAGUUAUUUUUGUAUUUUUUGUGGAGAUGGGGUUCUGUUAUAUUGCCUAGGUUGGUCUCGACCUCCUGACCUCAAGCACAUGCCACCACAUGUGGCUAAUUUUUGUACUUUUAGUAGAGACAGGGUUUCACCAUGUUGGCCAGGCUGGUCUCAAACUCCUAACAUCAGGUGAUCUGCCUGCCUCAGCCUCCCAAAGUGCUGGGAUUACAGGUGUGAGCCACUGCGCCUGGUCCACCAUGCCUUUUAUGAUCCAUUCUUCAAGUCACUUUCAUACCUUUUAUGAUCUAUUAUUUGAGUCACUUGUUGCUUAGCCUGUUCAUUAGAAGCUGGUCACUAAGUCUAGCCCACAUUCAACAGGGAGGGAGGGAUUACACAGGGGUGUGAAUACCAGGAGGCUGGGAUCAUUGAGGCCAUCUUGGAGGCCAGCUACAAUAAUACUCACUUAAAUUUAGCGAACUCAGAAAAAAUUAGAAUCCUAAUAGAGCGGAAACAAAAAGCUCUAUAUUCUCUAUUAUUUGAAAUACAGUUUUAUGAUUUAAGAAAAUGGGCUCAUAGAAAUUAGUCCUUUUAUUCAUUCUGUUGCUUAUGUGGCUAUAGAAUAUUUUCAAAUCAAGGGCUUCUAUAAGGAAGGUCUGUUAACGGGUGACUGAUUAUAAGUAUAUACCUUACAUAUGACCAAGUCAGAGCACAGAAUUUUAUAAUCCUUCAAAUAUAUUUGAAACUUUUAUACCCAGGUACCUGGUGAGCUGUCUACAUUGGCUCUUAAUAAGGAUCUUUCUCAGAAAUGAUUUAAACUAAUAACAGUAUAAUAGAAAGAGCUCUAGAUUUGAGUCAAGACAGUCAUAACUAUUUUCCUUAACAUGUAAAUGAGGAUCAGAAUGUCUGCCCUAUUCAUGUGCCUCAUGUGAGAAUUAAAUGUAGUACCAGAAUAUGUGAAAAUGCCUUUUAAAUUGUAAACCCCUGUCUACAGUUAGGCAAUUUGAUGGUUCUGUAGGGUGAGAUUAUAGCUAACUGAUUGAUAGAGUGUUUGUGCUACAGUGUGCCUUAGGUAAGCUUCACGUCAGGUAGUUGAACAAUGUUGGAACACUACAUCUUUCCCAAGUGUUCCAUCCUGGUGUGUUACAAACACUGGCAGCCAAAAUGUUCUUAAUUCUUUAAUCUAGCUGUCAAAAGACAAGGGAAAAGCAACUAAUCAGAAUUUAAAUCAUUCUUAAGUUAAAAUUGUGUAGACCAGGCAACUCCAGUUCCUUUGAUCUUUCCUCUUAGGACUUAUUUCCAAUUACUUUUAUUUCAAAUAAAUGCAAGUGAUUAUGGUUGACCAUAAAUUAUUAGUCUUGAGUGGUCAGAUUAAUGGUUUUUACAUGUAUUCUGUGUCUCAUAAAGCUUCAUUGGGAUUUUGAAAUAAUGAUUGGAUGUACUUACUUUGCGAUCCCAGUUUAUGACUUUAAAGAUAAGGGGUAUGAAAAUCAUUUCAUAAAAGGAAAAAAAUGAACUUUACAGUGCUACUGUUCAUUUUUUUCUGUGGAAAUUGAAUAUGCUAUCUCGUUUUUACCACAUUGACCUCAGAAAAAGAGAGGUUAAACUUUUCUAUGGUUGUUACAUUCUUGUUUAUAGCUUAUGAUUUUAAUUGAUAGUCAAAUACAUUAAUGUCAGACAUCGAGAAGUAUUUAUUAAGUAUAUGUCAUUAGAGUAGCUACUUUUAAAAAUUUUGAUAAGUUGUAUUUUUUUUCUUUCUGGACUUUAUACUUAAAAGUCUUUUAAUUUAUUUUUAUGAGCAUAAAAUAAAGCAAAAUCUAACAAGAUUGGAUUUAAUGAGUGAGGACAGAAUUUUAUUUUAAAUGGCCUUUUCUAAUAAAGGUCUAUGAUUCUGCUUCUUCUGGUACCAUUUACGCACUUGCCUGCAGGAUCUUUGUCCCAAAAUACAUAUUGUGUUUGUUUAUAUACCAUCCACAAUUUGGCAGAGUUUACAGGACUUCUUGAUGUUAGCUUUGAGAAAUCCCUAUUUAAGCUCAAGAAGUUCCUUCUCUGUAGAUAGCCCAGUCAUUCCAAAUAAAAGAUCUCUAUGGUAAAGCUUUGGAGUGUGAUUUUCUUCAAGAGAAAUUAGACAACUUUACAAAUACCUUGUCACAUCUGGAUUUUAAGUAUUUCAGUUCGACUAAAAUAUGAAUUGACAGCACUUAGUUAUUGACAGUUUAGUGUAUUGAAAUCUGGUUUUUAAAAAUAUGCUUUAGAUAAACUAUAAUACUCUAAUAAUAACGGAAUCAUAAAAUUUAGAACUGGUAACUGCAAGCUUAUAUAUAUAUAUAUAUUUGACACCUUUGUAGCUGGCAGAGCGUUUGUAUUUUUAAAGAAAAGUUUUUAUUUUAGUUAUUUUAGUUAUUUUUCAAUCUAAGAGAGGAAGUCGACUUUCUGAAAAAAUUAAAAUGUUUUGGCUAGGUGGGGUGGUUCAUGCCUGUAAUCCCAGCACUUUGGGAGGCCGAGGCAGGUGGAUCACCUGAGGUCAGGAGUUCGAGACCAGACUGGCCAACGUGAUGAAACCCCACCUCUACUAAAAAUACAAAAAAUUAGCCAGGUAUGCUGGCAUGUGCCUGUAAUCCCAGCUACUUGGGAGACUGAGGCAGGAGAAUUGCUUGAACCCGGGAGGCGGAGGUUGCAGUGGGCUGAGAUUGUACCACAACACUCCAGCCUGGGCAACAGAGCAAGACUCUGUCUGAAAAAAAAAAAAUUAAAAUGUUUUAAAAUUAGUAUGUCAUAGUACCUUCCAGUUAGAGUACGUGAAUCUGCAUACAUGGUAAAUGCACCUCUGAAGCACUUGAAGAUUGUGAAGUCCCGUUUUCUCUUCUUUUGGAUUGCAUUAUUUCCAUUUUAGUGUAAAGGUGAAAUUCUCUUUCAUGACCUUUCCUGAAUUACAUAUUCCAAGUGAGAGAAGGCAGAAAUAAUAUGUCUGAGAAGAGCAUCCUUCACUCUUCCCCUCCUUCCUUCUACUUUCUACAUUUUUUUUUUUUUUUUUGAGACAGUGUCUUGCUCUGUCAUCCAGGCUGGAGUGCAGUGAUGUAAUCUUGGCUCACUGCAACCUCCGCCUCCCAGGUUCAAGCGAUUCUCCUGCCUCAGCCUCCCAAGUAGCUGGGAUUACAGGCACCCGCCACCACACCUGGCUAAUUUUUGUGUUUUUAUUGGAGAUGGGGUUUCACCAUUUUGGCCAGGCUGGUCUCAAACUCCUGACCUCAGGUGAUCCGCCUGUCUUGGCCUCCCAAAGUGUUGGGAUUAUAGGCGCUCUGAGCCACUGUGCCUGGCCUUUUUUGUUGUUGUUUGUUUGUUUUUGAAACUAGAUAUCUCUCUGUCACCCAGGCUGGAGUGCAGUGGUGUGAUCUUGGCUUACUGCAACCUCUGCCUCCUGGGCUCAAGCGAUCCUCCCACCUCAGCCUCCCAAGUAGCUGGAACCACAGGCACGCGCCACCAUGCCCAGGUAAUUUUUUUGUAGAUAUGGGGGUCUCACCAUGUUGCCCAGGCUGGUCUCAAACUCCUGGACUCAAGCAAUCCUCUCGCCUUGGCCUCUCAAAGUGCUGGGAUUACAGGCAUGUACCCAUCAUUUUUUUUUAAUGGUUAAUUCAAAUGCUGCCAGGAUAAAGACUAUUGAAAUGUUGUUGUCUGAAGAUGUUAAUUUCUUUGUAGCACUGCUAUGCCCUAGUUUUACUAUUUCCCAUUUUCACUUGUAGUUUUUCAAUCAGCAUUAUUGAGGUAUAAUUUACAUGUAGUACAGUUCACCUAUUUUAAGUGUACAAGUCUGUGACAACUGUGUAUUCAGUAGUAUAACCACCACCAAAGUUCACCAUUGCUUCAAAAAGUUCCCUCAUGCCCCCUUGCAGGUAGUGUUCUAAUUGAUGCAGACAUACAUGCACUGAUACUUUUGUGAUCCUCAUCUUACAGGGAAGAAAACGUUUGUAAUUUCUUUUUAACAGCAUAAAAAUGCUGUUUACCUUCAGGUGCAGAGACUUUGUUUCUUCAAUAUUAUUCUUUGAUGCUUAGUUUUGUACAGAGGAUUGGAAGCUACAGACAAGCUAAAGUAUAAUAGUGAUAUGGUAGACUUUAAUUAUUGUUCCUUUUUUUAUGAAAGUAUGCACGUGAACAGUUGGAAAGUAUUAUCUGUUAUAAGCUUUUCAGUUUAAGCUGGGCCUCCUCAAAUUGAUGUGUGUUUAGGAACUAAGAAUUUUAAAUAACAUUUGAAGGGCCGGGCGCAGUAGCUCAUACCUGUAAUCCCAGCACUUUAGGAGGCCAAGGCAGGCAGAUCACAAGGUCAGGAGUUCAAGACCAGCUUGGCCAACAUAGUGAAACCCCGUCUCUACUAAAAAAAAAAAAAAAUUAGCCAGGCAUAAGCUGAGAUCAUGCCACUGCACUGUAGCCUGGGCAACACAGCAAGACUCUGUCUCAAUAAAUAAAUACCAUUUGAAAUGUCUUCAAUGCCAUGUGUGGAAACUAUUUAAAAAAAUAAAACGUGCCUCUUGGCAGUAUUGCUGUGCUUUCAGGACUCUAAUGCAGGCUGUACCUAAGAGGGAAAGGGCUGAGUCUGGGGAUGGUUGGCAGGUUGUUUUUGUGGAUGAAAAACCUUUUACCCAUGUAUGCAGUCAGUACUGAGCCUUUUUGUGUUUUAAAACUUCAGAUGUAAAGACAGGUUAAUCUUCAGAUUAAAACAAAAGGAUGGCCUAGAAACUUGUGACUUCGACAUUUACAUUAGAAGAAUGUAGAUGUUUUCAAAUAAACAAAUCUGCCCAUAUCAUAGAUGUUCAAAGUUUGUUCCAUAUAAUAACAAUGAUAGUUUCUAAUAAUCGUGUGGCCCUGUUUGCAGAACAGUGUUCUAAGUAAUGAGCCAUUUGGGAGAACCCUUUAAAUUUUUUUUUUAGGAUAUUUAUUCACACCAGCUUUUUAGUCCUGAGUUUCUAUCCAUCCCUUUGCUAUCCAGAACAUUUCUUGGCCAUUUUUUUACUGGGUCAGGUGCCGUGGCUCGUGCCUUUGGUCCCAGUGCUCUGGAAGGCCAGGGCGGGUGGAUCGCCUGGGGUUAGGAGUUCAAGACUAGCGUGGCCAGCAUGGUGAAGCCCCGUCUCUACUAGGAAUGCAAAAAUUGGCUGGGCAUGGUGGUGGGUGCCUCUGGUCCCAGCUGCUCGGGAGGCUAAGGCAGGAGAAUCACUUGAACCUGGGAGGCAGAGGGUGCAGUGAGCCAAGAUCGCGCCACUGCACUCCAGCCUGGGAACAAAAUUCCAUCUCAAAAAAAAUAAAAAUAAAAAUGCAGAAAUUGGUCAGGCGUGGUGUCGCAUGCCUCUGGUUCCAGCUACUUGAGAGAGGCUGGGGUGGGAGAGUUGCUUGGGCCUGGGAGGCAAAGGUUGCAGUGAGCAGAGAUCGCACCACGGCACUCCAGCCUGGGUGACAGAGCAAGGCUCCAUCUCCAAACAAACAAAUAACAAAAAAAACCCCUAAAACAUUUUUUAUUUUCCUUAAAUGUAUUGGCCAAGGUUAAAAUAUCCAUCCUGAAUAUUCUGUAUGAAAACAUUGGAUAUGAAGAAAAAAAGAAAAUUCAGGCAGUUGACCAGGGGAGAGAAUUGAGCUUUUUGGUUCUUCCUGACACAUAUUCUCAGUGAGACUAUACUCACUUUUUUAAAAGCUAUUUAUAAAAUAUUAAAAUAAGAUAUUACAUGAAGUUAAAAAUUGAAACGAAAGUCAGCAUCUUAAUUCACCAAUUACACAACUGAAUGGUGUUUUUUGUUUGUUUGUUUGAGACAGAGUCUCGCUCUGUUGUCGAGGCUGGAGUGCAGUGGCAUGAUCUCAGCUCACUGCAAGCUCUGCCUCCCGGGUUCAUGCCAUUCUACUGCCUCAGCCUCCCGAGUAGCUGGGACUACAGGAGCCCGCCACCACGCCUGGCUAAUUUUUUUGUAUUUUUUUAGUAGAGACGGGUUUUCACCAUGUUAGCCAGGAUGGUCUCGAUCUCUUGACCUUGUGAGCCACCGUGUCUAGCCUUUUUUUUUUUUUUCUUUUUUUUUUUUUUGAGAUGGAGUUUCACUCUUGUUGUCCAGACUGGAGUGCAAUGGCGCCAUCUCAGCUCACCACGACCUCCACCUCCCGGGUUCAUGCAAUUCCCUACCUCAGCCUCCCGAGUAGCUGGGAUUACAGGCAUGUGCCACCAUGCUUGGCUAAUUUUUUGUAUUUUUAGUAGAGACAGGGUUUCUCCAUGUUGGUCAGGCUAGUUUUGAACUCCUCAUCUCAGGUGAUCUACCCACCUCGGCCUCAUAAAGUGCUGGGAUUACAGGUGUGAGCCACCGCGCCUGGCCACUGAGUGGUUUUUAAUAUAUUCACAACCAUCACCAUUAUGUAAUUUGUGAGUAUUUCAGAACUCUGAACCAUUUUAUUUAUUUUUUAUUUAUUUACUUAUUUUGAGACAGAGUCUCUUGUCUGCCAGGCUGGAGUGCAGUGGCGCAAUCUCGGCACACUGCAACCUCCGCCUCCCGGAUUCAAGCUAUUCUCCUGCCUCAGCCUCCUGAGUAGCUGGGAUUACAGGAGCCUGCCACCACACCCGGCUGAUUUUUGUACUUUUAGUAGAGACGGUUUCACCAUGUUGGCCAGGCUGGUCUCGAACUCCUGACCUCAGGUGAUCUGCCCACCUUGGCCUCCCAAAGUGCUGGUAUUAUAAGCGUGAGCCACCGCGCCCGGCCCCAUUCUGUUUAUUUUUGAGACAGACUCUGUCUCCCAAGCUGGAAUGCAAUGGCACAACCAUGGCUCACUGCAGCUUCAACCUCCCAGGCUCAAGCGAUUCUUCCACCUCACUGGGACUGUAGGCACAUGCCACCGCACCAGCUGUUUUUUUUUGUUUUACUUUUUGUAGAGAUGGGGUCUCACUAUGUUGCUUAGGGUGGUCUCGAACUCCUGGCUGGGUUCAAGUGAUCCUUCCACUUUGGCCUCCCAUGAACCAUUUUAAAUGCUUUUUGAGAACUGCAAAGCAGUUUUUAUGGUGAUCACUACCACCGGACACUGUGCUAGAUGGUUUACAUUAUCACUAAUUCUCCUAAUACUGCACUGUAUAGAAGAACUGUUUAAUUUUAGAACAUAUCUGGUGAUAGCUUGAUUUUACAGCUGAGGAAACUGAGGCCAGGAGGCUAAGUUAACCUUCAAAAGUCGUAUUAUCUGUUUCCUGGUACAGCCAGGACCCAGACCCACUUAUUUUUUACCCCUAAGUCUGUUCUUUGCAUACUACACUACUGCUAAUAAGUAAUCAUUAGGUAAGUUGAUGCAAACUCCACAUACCACCUUCCAAAGCCUUAUUUAGAGUUAUUUUGGUCCACCAAGUUACUCUACUG